Molecule: ribosomal RNA, 806 nt
Filed under: uncultured bacterium
Lineage: Bacteria
Description: bacterial SSU rRNA
Rfam family: Bacterial small subunit ribosomal RNA
Source: RNAcentral
AGAGUUUGAUCCUGGCUCAGGACGAACGCUGGCGGCGUGCCUAAUACAUGCAAGUCGAGCGAAUCAAAGGGAGCUUGCUCCCUGAGGUUAGCGGCGGACGGGUGAGUAACACGUGGGCAACCUGCCUAUAAGACUGGGAUAACUUCGGGAAAACCGGAGCUAAUACCGGAUAAUUCAUAUCUACUCAUGUAGGUAUGCUGAAAGACGGUUUACGCUGUCACUUAUAGAUGGGCCCGCGGCGCAUUAGCUAGUUGGUGAGGUAAUGGCUCACCAAGGCAACGAUGCGUAGCCGACCUGAGAGGGUGAUCGGCCACACUGGGACUGAGACACGGCCCAGACUCCUACGGGAGGCAGCAGUAGGGAAUCUUCCGCAAUGGACGAAAGUCUGACGGAGCAACGCCGCGUGAGUGAUGAAGGUUUUCGGAUCGUAAAACUCUGUUGUUAGGGAAGAACAAGUACGAGAGUAACUGCUCGUACCUUGACGGUACCUAACCAGAAAGCCACGGCUAACUACGUGCCAGCAGCCGCGGUAAUACGUAGGUGGCAAGCGUUGUCCGGAAUUAUUGGGCGUAAAGCGCGCGCAGGCGGUCCUUUAAGUCUGAUGUGAAAGCCCACGGCUCAACCGUGGAGGGUCAUUGGAAACUGGGGGACUUGAGUACAGAAGAGAAGAGUGGAAUUCCACGUGUAGCGGUGAAAUGCGUAGAGAUGUGGAGGAACACCAGUGGCGAAGGCGACUCUUUGGUCUGUAACUGACGCUGAGGCGCGAAAGCGUGGGGAGCAAACAGGAUUAGAUACCCUCGUAGUCC